UGAGUAACCUGCCCUUAACUCUGGGAUAAGCCUGGGAAACUGGGUCUAAUACCGGAUAUGACUCCUCAUCGCAUGGUGGGGGGUGGAAAGCUUUAUUGUGGUUUUGGAUGGACUUGCGGCCUAUCAGCUUGUUGGUGAGGUAAUGGCUCACCAAGGCGACGACGGGUAGCCGGCUGAGAGGGUGACCGGCCACACUGGGACUGAGACACGGCCCAGACUCCGUACGGGGAGCAG
RNAcentral lists this ribosomal RNA (234 nucleotides) under uncultured bacterium. Its description in RNAcentral is "partial 16S ribosomal RNA". It matches the Rfam family "Bacterial small subunit ribosomal RNA", at positions 118 to 347 of the family's 1533-position model. The record is from RNAcentral.